AACGAACGCUGGCGGCAUGCCUAACACAUGCAAGUCGAACGAGACCUUCGGGUCUAGUUGCGCACGUGUGCGUAACGCGUGGUAACCUGCCCUUAGGUUCGGAAUAACUCCCCGAAAGGGGUGCUAAUACCGGUUAAUGUCUUCGGACCAAAGAUUUAUCGCCUUUGGAUGGGCCCGCGUUGGAUUAGCUUGUUGGUAGGGUAAAAGCCUACCAAGGCGACGAUCCAUAGCUGGUCUGAGAGGAUGAUCAUCCACACUGGGACUGAGACACGGCCCAGACUCCUACGGGAGGCAGCAGUGGGGAAUAUUGGACAAUGGGCGAAAGCCUGAUCCAGCAAUGACGGGUGAGUGAUGAAGGGCUUAGGGUUGUAAAGCUCUUUUACCCGGGAUGAUAAUGACAGUACCGGGAGAAUAAGCUCCGGCUAACUCCGUG
This 433-nucleotide ribosomal RNA is filed under the name uncultured bacterium. RNAcentral's name for it is "partial 16S ribosomal RNA". It matches the Rfam family "Bacterial small subunit ribosomal RNA", at positions 29 to 507 of the family's 1533-position model. The record is from RNAcentral.